This 1354-nucleotide ribosomal RNA is filed under the name Escherichia coli. RNAcentral's name for it is "partial 23S ribosomal RNA". It matches the Rfam family "Bacterial large subunit ribosomal RNA", at positions 419 to 1774 of the family's 2925-position model. Lineage: Bacteria; Pseudomonadati; Pseudomonadota; Gammaproteobacteria; Enterobacterales; Enterobacteriaceae. The record is from RNAcentral.
GGGACACGUGGUAUCCUGUCUGAAUAUGGGGGGACCAUCCUCCAAGGCUAAAUACUCCUGACUGACCGAUAGUGAACCAGUACCGUGAGGGAAAGGCGAAAAGAACCCCGGCGAGGGGAGUGAAAAAGAACCUGAAACCGUGUACGUACAAGCAGUGGGAGCCUCUUAAUGAGGUGACUGCGUACCUUUUGUAUAAUGGGUCAGCGACUUAUAUUCUGUAGCAAGGUUAACCGAAUAGGGGAGCCGAAGGGAAACCGAGUCUUAACUGGGCGUUAAGUUGCAGGGUAUAGACCCGAAACCCGGUGAUCUAGCCAUGGGCAGGUUGAAGGUUGGGUAACACUAACUGGAGGACCGAACCGACUAAUGUUGAAAAAUUAGCGGAUGACUUGUGGCUGGGGGUGAAAGGCCAAUCAAACCGGGAGAUAGCUGGUUCUCCCCGAAAGCUAUUUAGGUAGCGCCUCGUGAAUUCAUCUCCGGGGGUAGAGCACUGUUUCGGCAAGGGGGUCAUCCCGACUUACCAACCCGAUGCAAACUGCGAAUACCGGAGAAUGUUAUCACGGGAGACACACGGCGGGUGCUAACGUCCGUCGUGAAGAGGGAAACAACCCAGACCGCCAGCUAAGGUCCCAAAGUCAUGGUUAAGUGGGAAACGAUGUGGGAAGGCCCAGACAGCCAGGAUGUUGGCUUAGAAGCAGCCAUCAUUUAAAGAAAGCGUAAUAGCUCACUGGUCGAGUCGGCCUGCGCGGAAGAUGUAACGGGGCUAAACCAUGCACCGAAGCUGCGGCAGCGACACUAUGUGUUGUUGGGUAGGGGAGCGUUCUGUAAGCCUGUGAAGGUGGCCUGUGAGGGUUGCUGGAGGUAUCAGAAGUGCGAAUGCUGACAUAAGUAACGAUAAAGCGGGUGAAAAGCCCGCUCGCCGGAAGACCAAGGGUUCCUGUCCAACGUUAAUCGGGGCAGGGUGAGUCGACCCCUAAGGCGAGGCCGAAAGGCGUAGUCGAUGGGAAACAGGUUAAUAUUCCUGUACUUGGUGUUACUGCGAAGGGGGGACGGAGAAGGCUAUGUUGGCCGGGCGACGGUUGUCCCGGUUUAAGCGUGUAGGCUGGUUUUCCAGGCAAAUCCGGAAAACCAAGGCUGAGGCGUGAUGACGAGGCACUACGGUGCUGAAGCGACAAAUGCCCUGCUUCCAGGAAAAGCCUCUAAGCAUCAGGUAACAUCAAAUCGUACCCCAAACCGACACAGGUGGUCAGGUAGAGAAUACCAAGGCGCUUGAGAGAACUCGGGUGAAGGAACUAGGCAAAAUGGUGCCGUAACUUCGGGAGAAGGCACGCUGAUAUGUAGGUGAAGCGACUUGCUC